Long non-coding RNA from Daphnia pulex (common water flea), 660 nucleotides. RefSeq lists it as uncharacterized. Lineage: Eukaryota; Metazoa; Arthropoda; Branchiopoda; Diplostraca; Daphniidae. The record is from RefSeq and is a predicted model, not a curated record. The transcript is spliced from 4 exons.
UGCUGCAUGCAGACAGCUGACAGCUGAUGUGUGGAAAAUUGAAAGAAUUCGAAAAGUGAAAUCAAUAUUCAGCCUAAGUUAACAAUGUUUUUGAACCUGAAAGAUGAAAGAACUUGGUAUUAUGUUAACUAAAUGUUCUAAUGAAUAUUUACGAGUCCAUUUGUCAUCAUUUACCACGUAAUGACGACCAGUGUUGAAGCUGGCCAGGAAUUCUAAGCUGUCAACAAUCCUGAAGCCGUAGUGUGUCUAUACUAAAAGUGGAAUCAAAAAUUGUAAUUACAUAGCAAUCUUACAAAUUUUAUGUUCUUGUCUUUCAGAUGCAUGUUUUGUAAAUAGUGAAUCUCAAAUGAAUCCAAGAACUUUGAGUCGUCAUUACACUUUCUUUCCAAUUUUAAUAAUGGUGAUAUUGCAGACAUACCAUUUUGCAAGUACUUACCUGAGCAGCUGAGCUCUUCCUUUCUGUGGUUCCUUUCAAUUGAUUCAUUUGAGUUAAAUCCCUUGCCACUGUUCCAGACCUUACCCACUAGUGGAAUAUGCAGAGAGAUGUUCAACUUAUAACAGGUUAGCCCUUCGCCAUUGUGCUACAAUUUGAAGAAGUUGACGGUUACAGAAGAGCUGGCUUUCGAUCAAUAUCAAUAAAUUAUGUAGAUGUAGAUAAAU